Cyprinus carpio carpio is the source of this 1354-nucleotide long non-coding RNA. Lineage: Eukaryota; Metazoa; Chordata; Actinopteri; Cypriniformes; Cyprinidae. The record is from Ensembl.
AAGGAGCUUUACUGCCAAGGUACACUCCAGUACACUCUAAUAUUACACAUACUGUAUACAUACAACAAGACUGACUAAAUAAAUAAAUAAAUAAAAUAUUAAAUUAAAGAAUAAAAUAUGAAAAAGUUAAGUCAGAAAUUCUUUUAAUAUCUAGAAAUAUUUUCAAAUUAUGUACAUAUUUACAUUGUUAUGGAUAAUAAUAAUAUGAUUAAAUAUGAUAAUUUUUUUAAUUUUGUCUGUCAUAUAGUUAGUAAGGUAGUUGUUAAACUUUAGGUAGGAUUAGGGAAGUAGAAUAUGAUCAUGCAGAAUAUGUGCCUUAUUAGUACUAAUAAACAGCAAAUAUGUUAAUAAUAAGCAUGCUAAUAAACAACUAGUUAAUAGUGAGAAUUGGUCCCUGUACUAAAGUUUUACCGUGUAAAUUGUAAAAAUAUGUAAAAAUUAUAUAUAUAUAUCACCUAUAAUGCACCUUAUUGCAACUCAAAAGCUAUCAUAUAUUGGUUUGAUUUUUAUAAUUUACAUCACACAUGUCUGGGUAUAACCACUGCAAUUUUCAGUCCUCAGGUUAACCUAGAUUAAUGUCCCAGCCAUAAACAAGCUCUCAUUGUCUCUCUAAAUGAGAUUAGCACAGGGUUAAGUACCUCUUCGCUUUGUUCGGUCCAGUGAGGUUGUGUUUGACGAGGGAUAAGAAGUGAGAGAGGCGCACGGAGGGUGGUGUGCUGUACCUUUGCACCGUGCCAAUGUCAGCAAGCUGUGCCAGUCUCACCGGGCGGCCGUCCACGUCCCAGGCUCCGCCGUGCUACGCAGAGGAUCCACAAACUCACUGCAUAUGCUCCGUAUGGCCCAGACAGUCCGUCCAAUUUUCCACCAUCUGCUGGGCCUGCACUUACGCACCACAGAAAGGUCACCGUCAGCUCUGCUUGACUCAUAAAAAUUCAAAUGACACUAUGAAAAAUCCUAUUCUUAACCAGUAGUUUUAUUUAUUUUAAAGUUAAAAUAUCUAAAAGAAAAAAAAAUGAAAAUCUAAAACAAAUUUAAUUGAGAACCAACACUGCACAACAUAUUAAGAUGCACUUUAUAAAACCUUAUCAUAUGUGGUGAUGCACUAUGUUAUGUAGUAAUAUAGUCUGUUGCAUCAUUUUUUGUCUAUGAUGUCAUUGAAAACGUGGGCCCGUUCUAAUAUAGGUUUGCAGAUCCACUGGUGAAGCUUCAGUUUAAGCCUUAUUUUUGGUGGGAAAAGGAUGACAGAGUCCAUACUGACCUGCUAAAAGUGCAUCUCUGUCUCAGUAUAUCUGUAACACAUCAUCAUGUUGCACCUUUGUUAUCCUCUCACUAUCUUAUUAAUUGAUUGCUCUAC